Small nucleolar RNA from Dioscorea cayenensis subsp. rotundata (Guinea yam), 107 nucleotides. Lineage: Eukaryota; Viridiplantae; Streptophyta; Magnoliopsida; Dioscoreales; Dioscoreaceae. The record is from RefSeq and is a predicted model, not a curated record.
AUCCCAUGUUGAGGACAUUUUCUCAACAAUUCUUUGUAUCUUUCCCAUGCCUCGUACAAAGUUUCAAACUAUAUCUGUCAAAAAGAAGAUAUGUCAUUUCUAAGUUU